UACGAAGGGGGCUAGCGUUGCUCGGAAUCACUGGGCGUAAAGCUCGCGUAGGUGGCCUCAUAAGUCCGCUGUGAAAGUCAAAGGCUCAACCUUUGAAAGCCGGUGGAUACUGUGAGGCUAGAGUACGGAAGAGGCGAGUGGAAUUCCUGGUGUAGCGGUGGAAUGCGCAGAUAUCAGGAGGAACACCAAUAGCGAAGGCAGCUCGCUGGGACGUUACUGACACUGAGGCGCGAAAGCGUGGGGAGCGAACAGG
This 253-nucleotide ribosomal RNA is filed under the name uncultured bacterium. Its description in RNAcentral is "partial 16S ribosomal RNA". It matches the Rfam family "Bacterial small subunit ribosomal RNA", at positions 524 to 776 of the family's 1533-position model. The record is from RNAcentral.